CUCCUCAAUGUUCUGGGCGACACGCGCACUACAAUGUCAGUGAGAACAAGAUUACCGACCUUUUGAUCGGACCCACUUGAUUCAAAAGAGGGGGGAAACACCGGAAUCACAUCGACCCGCUUGGGACCGACGAUUGCAAUUAUUGGUCGCGCAACGAGGAAUGUCUCGUAGGCGCAGCUCAUCAAACUGUGCCGAUUACGUCCCUGCCAUUUGUACACACCGCCCGUCGUUGUUUCCGAUGAUGGUGCAAUACAGGUGAUCGGACAGACGAGCCUCUGGCUUGUUUGAAAGUUCACCGAUAUUUCUUCAAUAGAGGAAGUAAAANUCGUANCA
RNAcentral lists this ribosomal RNA (333 nucleotides) under uncultured eukaryote. RNAcentral describes it as "partial 18S ribosomal RNA". It matches the Rfam family "Eukaryotic small subunit ribosomal RNA", at positions 1470 to 1796 of the family's 1831-position model. The record is from RNAcentral.